Molecule: ribosomal RNA, 877 nt
Filed under: uncultured bacterium
Lineage: Bacteria
Description: bacterial SSU rRNA
Rfam family: Bacterial small subunit ribosomal RNA
Source: RNAcentral
AGAGUUUGAUCCUGGCUCAGAAUCAACGCUGGCGGCGCGCGUAACACAUGCAAGUCGAACGAGAAAGCAGGAGCAAUCUUGUGAGUAAAGUGGCGUACGGGUGAGUAACACGUGGAUCAUCUACCCUCUUGUGGGGGAUAACCCUGGGAAACCGGGGCUAAUACCGCAUAAGUCCGAGAGGAGAAAGCAGCAAUGCGCAGGAGGAGGAGUCCGCGGCCGAUUAGCUAGUUGGUAGGGUAAAAGCCUACCAAGGCUACGAUCGGUAGCCGGCCUGAGAGGGCACACGGCCACACUGGCACUGAAACACGGGCCAGACUCCUACGGGAGGCAGCAGUGGGGAAUCUUGCACAAUGGGGGCAACCCUGAUGCAGCGACGCCGCGUGAGCGAUGAAGCCCUUCGGGGUGUAAAGCUCUUUCGGCAGGGAAGAUUAUGACGGUACCUGCAGAAGCAGCUGCGGCUAACUACGUGCCAGCAGCCGCGGUAAUACGUAGGCAGCAAGCGUUGUUCGGAGUUACUGGGCGUAAAGGGUGUGUAGGCGGUUCUCUAAGUCUGGUGUGAAAUCUCCCGGCUCAACUGGGAGGGUGCGCCGAAAACUGGAGGGCUAGAGUGCGGGAUGGGAGAGUGGAAUUCCUGGUGUAGCGGUGAAAUGCGUAGAUAUCAGGAGGAACACCUGUGGUGUAGACGGCUCUCUGGACCGCAACUGACGCUGAAACACGAAAGCGUGGGUAGCAAACAGGAUUAGAUACCCUGGUAGUCCACGCCCUAAACGAUGCAUAUUUGGUGUGGGCCAUUCAUUUGGUCUGUGCCGGAGCUAACGCGUUAAAUAUGCCGCCUGGGGAGUACGGUCGCAAGGCUGAAACUCAAAGGAAUUGACGG